AUACUACUCCCUCCGUCCUAAAAUUUUUGUCUUAGAUUUAUCUACAUACAAAUGUAUCUAUUCACAUUUUAGUGUUAGAUACAUCCGUAUCUAGAUAAAUCUAAGACAAGAAUUUUGGGACUGAGAGAGUAGUAU
Triticum aestivum (bread wheat) is the source of this 135-nucleotide non-coding RNA. The record is from Rfam. NCBI's taxonomy places the organism in Eukaryota, Viridiplantae, Streptophyta, Magnoliopsida, Poales, Poaceae.